UCCCGGUUAACCCGGGCAGUCUCGUUAGAGUUCCCAGCCGAACUGUUGGCAACUAACGACAAGGGUUGCGCUCGUUGCGGGACUUAACCCAACACCUCACGGCACGAGCUGACGACAGCCAUGCAGCACCUGUGCAGCGGUCCCGAAGGAAGGCUCCAUUUCUGGAGUUGUCCACUGCAUGUCAAGCCUAGGUAAGGUUCUUCGCGUUGCAUCGAAUUAAACCACAUGCUCCACUGCUUGUGCGGGUCCCCGUCAAUUCUUUUGAGUUUCACCCUUGCGAGCGUACUCCCCAGGCGGUGUACUUAACGCGUUGGCUACGGCACAAUCGGGGUUGAGUCCGAUUACACCAAGUACACAUCGUUUACGGCUAGGACUAC
Molecule: unclassified non-coding RNA, 377 nt
Filed under: uncultured Chlamydiales bacterium
Lineage: Bacteria; Pseudomonadati; Chlamydiota; Chlamydiia; Chlamydiales
Description: contains 16S-23S intergenic spacer region
Source: RNAcentral